GACGAACGCUGGCGGCGUGCUUAACACAUGCAAGUCGAACGGAAAGGCCUCUUUCGGGGGGUACUCGAGUGGCGAACGGGUGAGUAACACGUGAGUAACCUGCCCUUGACUUUGGGAUAACUUCAGGAAACUGGGGCUAAUACCGGAUAGGAGCUCCUGCUGCAUGGUGGGGGUUGGAAAGUUUCGGCGGUUGGGGAUGGACUUGCGGCUUAUCAGCUUGUUGGUGGGGUAGUGGCUUACCAAGGCUUUGACGGGUAGCCGGCCUGAGAGGGGGACCGGCCACAUUGGGACUGAGAUUCGGCCCAGAAGCCUACGGGAGGCAGCAGUGGGGAAUAUUGCACAAUGGGUGGAAGCCUGAUGCAGCAACGGCGUGUGCGUGAUGACGGCCUUCGGGUUGUAAACCGCUUUCGCUCAUGACGAAGCUUUGUGUGACGGUAGUGGGUAAAGAAGCACCGGCUAACUACGUG
This 467-nucleotide ribosomal RNA is filed under the name uncultured bacterium. Its description in RNAcentral is "partial 16S ribosomal RNA". It matches the Rfam family "Bacterial small subunit ribosomal RNA", at positions 28 to 507 of the family's 1533-position model. The record is from RNAcentral.